CGUGCGGCUGCCAAUAGGCAGAGGGAGGGCGGGGAGGGGCGGGGCCAAGGAGGACCGUGAGAAGGGUCCUGAAACUGGAGCGGAUCCCGAAUGGCUAGCCCAUCCGUGAGCUGCCCUGAGCCAAGGCGGUCGCUGAGCGCAAACCCUGCCACUGGGCUAGCUAGCGCUGAGCCCCGACGUCCGACGCUGUCUACACUUGCCACGGCAGUCCAUUUGGUGUAGCUGUGUGUGACUCAGGGAAGGCGGGCCCAGAAGGAAGAAACCUGGGACCGAAGAAAGGGAGGAGGGAUACUGGAGGAGUACCUGAAGGCGAGAUCUGAGGAUUUGUGGGACUCUGCUUGGCUCCGCCCUCGCCGGGUUCCGCCUAUUGCUGGUGCUCUAGCACCCGCUCCUACCCAAGCCCCUCCGAGGAUACCCAAGGUCUAUGUGUGGCCAUGGUGGACAGAGGACUGGGACAAGUGACCACCUUUGAGUGCCACCGACGAUGAUCACCUUGGUUCUAUGACUCAGCUGCUCUCACCACCCCUUUCUGCCAGAGCUCCACGUGUCUGUCACUUUGCCAAAAGCUAUUUCCCAUACUUUAAAAAGGAGGCAUUGAGCAAGGCUCAAAGAGAUUAAGCUUUGGCUGACCAGAAAAGCUGACGUUUGAAGCCAGGCAGUGUGACUCAAGAGCCCCAACUCCUAAGCAUACACCUUCCCAGUAAAAGAAAACACACCAUUCCACCCACCCCUCCAGUGAGUUUUUCCUCAACAGUCUCUGACUCACAAUGCAAAAACUAAGAAAGGAAUUAUUAAUCCCAUAGAAAGGAGGAGGAAAGCGGCCUCCGGGGACUAGGCAAACCUGCUUGAGGGUUGUACAAGGGACAAGAGGUUGUACCAUGAGCGUUCCACUUUCUCCUCCCCGCCCCACCCGCACUUUCUCUAGGACCUAGCUGUUGGAAUAGACCUUAGUGUCGUCUGACCCAUCUAUACUGCCAUGAAAUUUUGAAAUUAGAACAGCAGAAGGAGGACACAUUGGUUCACCUCUAUAAUCCCAGCUAGUCAACCAGCCUAGAAACAACACAGCAAAAACCCAGGGGUGUGGCUCUUGCGUGUAAUUCCAAGAGGAUUUCUGCAAGUUCAAAGUCAUCCUAAGCUAUACAGUGGAUUAAGGCUAAUGAGAUUAUAUAGCAAGCCCUUAUCUCAGAAUGGGGAGUGGGCAAUAAAAAGUGGGGUAGUGUGUCUCAUACCUAUCAGCCCAGCUAUGUUAACCAGACUGGGUAGCAUAGUAAGAACGCAUCUGAAAAAUAAAAAAAUAAUGAUAAAUAUACAGGAA
Molecule: long non-coding RNA, 1315 nt
Organism: Mastomys coucha (southern multimammate mouse)
Lineage: Eukaryota; Metazoa; Chordata; Mammalia; Rodentia; Muridae
Exons: 2
Source: RefSeq, a predicted model, not a curated record